This 466-nucleotide ribosomal RNA is filed under the name uncultured bacterium. Its description in RNAcentral is "partial 16S ribosomal RNA". It matches the Rfam family "Bacterial small subunit ribosomal RNA", at positions 28 to 507 of the family's 1533-position model. The record is from RNAcentral.
GAUGAACGCUGGCGGCGUGCUUAACACAUGCAAGUCGAACGAUGAAGCUCGGCUUGCUGGGUGGAUUAGUGGCGAACGGGUGAGUAACACGUGAGUAACCUGCCCUUAACUCUGGGAUAAGCCUGGGAAACUAGGUCUAAUACCGGAUAGGAGCGCCUACCGCAUGGUGGGUGUUGGAAAGAUUUAUCGGUUUUGGAUGGACUCGCGGCCUAUCAGCUUGUUGGUGAGGUAAUGGCUCACCAAGGCGACGACGGGUAGCCGGCCUGAGAGGGUGACCGGCCACACUGGGACUGAGACACGGCCCAGACUCCUACGGGAGGCAGCAGUGGGGAAUAUUGCACAAUGGGCGAAAGCCUGAUGCAGCGACGCCGCGUGAGGGAUGACGGCCUUCGGGUUGUAAACCUCUUUCAGUAGGGAAGAAGCGAAAGUGACGGUACCUGCAGAAGAAGCACCGGCUAACUACGUG